This 361-nucleotide long non-coding RNA is filed under the name Numida meleagris (helmeted guineafowl). RNAcentral describes it as "lncRNA (ENSNMEG00000021097.1)". The record is from RNAcentral. Lineage: Eukaryota; Metazoa; Chordata; Aves; Galliformes; Numididae.
ACGUAAUUACGGACAGGGUAGCUCAGCUGUGGUUGGUUGUGAGGUCUUGAUUGGAAGGGCUUCUAAAGAGAGACGGGAUAAAAUAAGGGUCAUUUGGCCCCAGCUGCUAUUUCUGUUCCCGUUUUCUUCUCAGCCUCUCUGAACAGGAAGCCCUUGGACUGCAAAUUGUGCUUGAUCAGGAAUACUACUUGCCCAUUCUGCUUUUGGUUGUCCUGGAUCCUGAGCCACCCCAUGCCCACCUGUAGGCCAGCACCUGUGCUAUGGAGUUAACUCAUAGCAGCUGUGAGAGUUUUGGAGUAUAUCUUGGGAAGGAAAACAUCCCCUGAAUAAAUAUCAUCCCUUCUUGUUGCGUGCUGCGUAA